GAUGAACGCUGGCGGCGUGCUUAACACAUGCAAGUCGAACGGAAAGGCCACAGCUUGCUGUGGUACUCGAGUGGCGAACGGGUGAGUAACACGUGGGUGAUCUGCCCUGUACUUCGGGAUAGCUUGGGAAACUGGGUCUAAUACCGGAUAGGAAUCACAUGUGGGUGUGUGGUUGGAAAGCUUUUGCGGUAUGGGAUGAGCUCGCGGCCUAUCAGCUUGUUGGUGGGGUAAUGGCCUACCAAGGCGUCGACGGGUAGCCGGCCUGAGAGGGUGUACGGCCACAUUGGGACUGAGAUACGGCCCAGACUCCUACGGGAGGCAGCAGUGGGGAAUAUUGCACAAUGGGCGCAAGCCUGAUGCAGCGACGCCGCGUGGGGGAUGACGGCCUUCGGGUUGUAAACUCCUUUCGUCAGGGACGAAGCGAAAGUGACGGUACCUGGAUAAGAAGCACCGGCUAACUACGUG
RNAcentral lists this ribosomal RNA (465 nucleotides) under uncultured bacterium. RNAcentral's name for it is "partial 16S ribosomal RNA". It matches the Rfam family "Bacterial small subunit ribosomal RNA", at positions 28 to 507 of the family's 1533-position model. The record is from RNAcentral.